Molecule: long non-coding RNA, 601 nt
Organism: Leopardus geoffroyi (Geoffroy's cat)
Lineage: Eukaryota; Metazoa; Chordata; Mammalia; Carnivora; Felidae
Exons: 3
Source: RefSeq, a predicted model, not a curated record
CCCCCACCCCCACCCCCGCCUCCGAUCGAGUUCCGGAAGCAGAAUUCCGACAUCACAAGGGCAGUAAUUUUUAGACUCCUCACUCAUGUUAAGAAGCAACCGGAGAACGUGCUAAGCUCCUACUUCCCCCAGAAGACUGCCUGUCACGGCCCAUCACGCCGCCGACCUUUUCUUAGGCCUCACACUUGGAAGCGUUCGCUCUCAACUCACCCCUUAGAUGCAAGUUCCAUCCAGAUGAGCUGUCACCAGCCCUCACUUUCUGUAGCCCUGGGUUCCAGCCCUCCUGAAGGUUCAGCAGCCGCAUAACCUGGGUCCUUGGGGACCGUGUUUUCGACUCGGCCCUGCCAGUGUCUGGUCCACCUGCUUUCCUUCUCACUGCAGAUUAAGAAGGUGACGUUUGGGGGCUCCUGGGUGGCUCAGUCAUUAAGCAUCUGACUUCAGCUCAGGUUUGUGAGUUUGAGCCCCACUCGGGGUAAAAAACCGCGAGACCUGCUUUGGGUGAGCCCCAUUUCCCUCUCCCUCUCUCUCUCUCUCUCUCUCUCUCUCUCUCUCUGCCCUUGACUCACUUGCACCAUCCCUGUCUCAAAAAAUAAAAAUAAAA